Suricata suricatta (meerkat) is the source of this 2212-nucleotide long non-coding RNA. Lineage: Eukaryota; Metazoa; Chordata; Mammalia; Carnivora; Herpestidae. The record is from Ensembl.
GCCUAGGAAACCUAGAGUUUUGCUGGCUGAAUUUUUUACAGGCUGAAUUCAGCUGCCCCCUGACUUCACAGCUGUUCCUGCUGCCCUAAAGUGUCUGUCCCUCCAGCUCUGUCCCCUCAGCUGGGUCUGCAACGCUGAGUCUGGGAUUUUCUUAUGAAAAUGCCUGAUGGGUGGGAGGAAGAUCUGGAGGUCGGCUGGGGAAAAAAUGAGUAAUGCUAAGCAGUCUACUUAGUAAAUGCUGCACGAGAAAUAACAGUAAAAGCCGGCUUCUGUCUCUGGGGACUCCAGAAUGAUUCUGACUUAUCAUGUCACUGAGCAGAGUUGGGGGAAGCCAAAACUCGAAAUCUGCUGGCAAGGAAGGGAACGAAGGAAAAAAAAAAAAAAAGACAGGGAGGGGCAAUCCGGAGGGGGAGGAAAUAAAAAGAGAGAGAGGGAAAGACAAGCGUCAUUUAGGAACAGAGGUAGAGUGAAAGAACUCCAGGAUCUAAAACCUGCCCUACAGCACAAUAUUUUGUAUCUUUUCUUUUCCCCAGUGGAGAUUCCUGUCCUGUCAUUUUACUGGCUGAGGAGUCACUCGCUACAGGCUCUUUCCCCAGAAGCUGACGGAAGAAACUCAAGCGCUGUUGUUUCUGCCCUCCCAAGUCUGCUGUCUCGGCUGCUAAUGGAUUGCUUUCCUCUGAGCUUCCACCCUGGAGAGACCCCCCAGAUCUAGUCUGUGAACCCGGCUAGGAAACACCUGUAAAGAUGACUGAAGAGCCCAUAAAAGAGAUUCUGGGAGCCCCAAAGUCUUCCAAGCCAGUGGCAGUGGAGAAGAGCCCCGCCCGGGAAGUGGUGGUCACCACGGUCCCCUUGGUCCGUGAGAUUCAGCUGACGGCUGCGACCGGGGGUGCCGAGCUCUCCUGUUACCGCUGCAUCAUCCCGUUUGCCGUGGUGGUGCUCAUCGCCGGGGUCGUGGUCACUGCUGUGGCUUACAGCUUCAAUUCCCAUGGCUCCAUCAUCUCCAUCUUGGGUCUGGUCCUUCUGUCAUCUGGACUUUUUUUGUUAGCCUCCAGUGCCUUGUGCUGGAAGGUGAGGCAAAGGAGCAAGAAAGCCAAGAGACGGGAGAGUCAGACAGCUCUUGUGGCAAAUCAGAGAAGCUUAUUUGCUUAGGACUGAUGGGACCAAAUGGGAUACGUGGCCUGAAAACCCUCCUUUCACUGUGUCCUCCAAUUCACCCAGAACUAGCAUGGGAGAGGAUGAACGGAGCAUUGGACUAGACCCGAGGAAUGGGGGUGAAUUGAGGCUGGGAGGGUAGAGGGGGUUCUGUCUUGCGAGGAACCUACUUGUGUUUUCUAAUGACAAACUUAACUCUAAGGGCUAUUUCUAAGACUGAAAGCUCAGCUUCUUUUCUACGUUAAACAUUUGAGGGUCGUGGGAGGUGCACGACAUAAGACAACACUCAACUCAGCUUGGAGAGGAGCCAAGGAAAGAAGAGAAAAUAAUCAGAUAGUUCUGGCACACCAGCGACCUGCCUCAAAAAAACAAAAACAAAAACACACCCCACUUUUGAGAAGUUGUAUCAUAAUGAUGUUCUGCUGAGUGUCUAAAUCGCCUCAGACUCUGCAUACUUCUAUGAAAUUACGCGAUAAUUUUUUAAAUAAGUUUUCUGGCAUCUAUUUUUUUGCUUUCAAUAACUCAUCACUGGUGGUACUUUUUCUUAAAGAAUAAACUAAUAUUUUUUAUGUUUUAACAUUGGGCAGUUUUAGAUGAUUAAUGAUGAGUCAGAUAUUAAAACAAAAAGGUAAAAGGUAUAGCGACUAGAUGACAUAGGGGUUAAAUUAAUAUUAAAAUAAUCCAACCUAGCACUUUUGAUGAUUUUUAUAUAAAGUUUAAUGUACAUUUCAUUCAAAAUAAUAAAUACUUAUUGCUGCUGAAACUUCAUAAAUGGUUGUUUCUAUUGUAGUUAUUUUUAUUUUUAUUUUAUUGUAGUUAUUUUAAAUUGCCCAUCUUCACUUCCUCAUUCACAAUGUCUCAAUUUCAUUUCUCUUAAAUGGGUGUUACCCUCCCUAACUUAUGUAGAAGAUUUUUAUUUUUGUAUGGUAUCAUUUUUUCAUGACUUCUGAAGAAUAACAUUAAUGAUGUUCAUUAUGUUUUACGCCACUAACAAUUAGGAAAUCAAUGCGUAGGGUCAGGAAUUUUUAACGUGUUAUUAAAUGUGUGCUACCUAUUUAUU